AUUGAACGCUGGCGGCAUGCCUUACACAUGCAAGUCGAACGGCAGCACGGGUGCUUGCACCUGGUGGCGAGUGGCGAACGGGUGAGUAAAGCAUCGGAACGUACCGUGUAGUGGGGGCUAACGUAGCGAAAGUUACGCUAAUACCGCAUACGCACUGAGGUGGAAAGCAGGGGAUCGCAAGACCUUGCGCUAUACGAGCGGCCGAUGUCAGAUUAGCUAGUUGGUAGGGUAAAGGCCUACCAAGGCGACGAUCUGUAGCGGGUCUGAGAGGAUGAUCCGCCACACUGGGACUGAGACACGGCCCAGACUCCUACGGGAGGCAGCAGUGGGGAAUUUUGGACAAUGGGGGAAACCCUGAUCCAGCCAUGCCGCGUGAGUGAAGAAGGCCUUCGGGUUGUAAAGCUCUUUCGGCUGGGAAGAAAUCGCACAGGCUAAUACUCUGUGUGGAUGACGGUACCAGCAUAAGAAGCACCGGCUAACUACGUGCCAGCCGCCGCUGUAA
RNAcentral lists this ribosomal RNA (502 nucleotides) under uncultured bacterium. RNAcentral describes it as "partial 16S ribosomal RNA". It matches the Rfam family "Bacterial small subunit ribosomal RNA", at positions 30 to 523 of the family's 1533-position model. The record is from RNAcentral.